Molecule: ribosomal RNA, 328 nt
Filed under: uncultured eukaryote
Lineage: Eukaryota
Description: partial 18S ribosomal RNA
Rfam family: Eukaryotic small subunit ribosomal RNA
Source: RNAcentral
CCCUUAGAUGUCCUGGGCCGCACGCGCGCUACACUGAUGCAUGCAACGAGUUUAUAACCUUGGCCUGAAAGGUCUGGGUAAUCUUUUGAACGUGCAUCGUGAUAGGGAUAGAUUAUUGCAAUUGUUAAUCUUGAACGAGGAAUUCCUAGUAAACGUGAGUCAUCAGCUCGCAUUGAUUACGUCCCUGCCCUUUGUACACACCGCCCGUCGCACCUACCGAUUGAAUGGUUCGGUGAAGAUCUCGGACUUCGAUAUUUAUUCUUUAUUGAGUUUAUAUUGUGGGAAGUUAUCUAAACCUCAUCAUUUAGAGGAAGGUGAAGUCGUAACA